This 433-nucleotide ribosomal RNA is filed under the name uncultured bacterium. RNAcentral describes it as "partial 16S ribosomal RNA". It matches the Rfam family "Bacterial small subunit ribosomal RNA", at positions 29 to 507 of the family's 1533-position model. The record is from RNAcentral.
AACGAACGCUGGCGGCAUGCCUAACACAUGCAAGUCGAACGAGACCUUCGGGUCUAGUGGCGCACGGGUGCGUAACGCGUGGGAACCUGCCCUUAGGUUCGGAAUAACUCCCCGAAAGGGGUGCUAAUACCGGAUAAUGUCUUCGGACCAAAGAUUUAUCGCCUUUGGAUGGGCCCGCGUUGGAUUAGCCAGUUGGUAGGGUAAAAGCCUACCAAGGCGACGAUCCAUAGCUGGUCUGAGAGGAUGAUCAGCCACACUGGGACUGAGACACGGCCCAGACUCCUACGGGAGGCAGCAGUGGGGAAUAUUGGACUAUGGGCGAAAGCCUGAUCCAGCAAGGCCGCGUGAGUGAUGAAGGCCUUAGGGUUGUAAAGCUCUUUUACCCGGGAUGAUAAUGACAGUACCGGGAGAAUAAGCCCCGGCUAACUCCGUG